CAUAGUUUUUCAGGAGAAACAAAACGGACAGAUGGAGAGAGAGAGAGCCAAGAAGAAGAUGGGUUGCGAACAAGCUCUCUGCUUCCCGGCAACGAUGGCAAAUCCAUGUCUUCGAGUGAUCCCUCGGUCAUGCCUCUCGUCGUUUUUAGCACGCUCGUUGCCGUUUGAGGGUCUUUUGUCUCUGGGUGCACUUUUGGUUAUUCAUCGCCUGCCGAGGCGGGCAUAAUGGAGGAUCUGGGGCUCUCUACAACGACGGUUAGUCCUAUCAUGCAUACAUUGUUACAUGUCCUCAAUGCAUUGCUAGAAAGUAUAAUAAAUUGCUGUCAGUUUCAAUCAAUUCUUUAUUUAGU
Molecule: long non-coding RNA, 350 nt
Organism: Syzygium oleosum
Lineage: Eukaryota; Viridiplantae; Streptophyta; Magnoliopsida; Myrtales; Myrtaceae
Exons: 2
Source: RefSeq, a predicted model, not a curated record